Molecule: ribosomal RNA, 484 nt
Filed under: uncultured bacterium
Lineage: Bacteria
Description: bacterial SSU rRNA
Rfam family: Bacterial small subunit ribosomal RNA
Source: RNAcentral
ACAUGCAAGUCGAACGGACUUUAUUGAAGCCUAGCGAUAUAAAAGUUAGUGGCGGACGGGUGAGUAACGCGUGAAUAACCUGCCCUUUGGAUGGGGACAACAUUCCGAAAGGAGUGCUAAUACCGAAUGUGACAGGAUUCUCGCAUGAGAGUCUUGUGAAAGAUGGCCUCUACAUGUAAGCUAUCGCCAAAGGAUGGGCCUGCGUCUGAUUAGCUAGUUGGUGGGGUAACGGCUCACCAAGGCGACGAUCAGUAGCCGGUCUGAGAGGAUGAACGGCCACAUUGGGACUGAGACACGGCCCAGACUCCUACGGGAGGCAGCAGUGGGGAAUCUUCCGCAAUGGGCGAAAGCCUGACGGAGCAAUGCCGCGUGAGUGAUGAAGGUUUUCGGACUGUAAAGCUCUUUUGUUUAUGACGAAUGUGCAUGAUGUGAACAAUGUUGUGUAAUGACGGUAGUAAACGAAUAAGCCACGGCUAACUACGUG